This 85-nucleotide transfer RNA is filed under the name Planctomycetota bacterium. RNAcentral describes it as "tRNA-Leu". It matches the Rfam family "tRNA". From Rfam's summary of the family: Transfer RNA (tRNA) molecules are approximately 80 nucleotides in length. Their secondary structure includes four short double-helical elements and three loops (D, anti-codon, and T loops). The record is from RNAcentral. Lineage: Bacteria; Pseudomonadati; Planctomycetota.
GGGCGGGUGGCGGAACUGGCAGACGCGCCAGAUUUAGGAUCUGGUCCCGAGAGGGGUGGGGGUUCGAAUCCCCCCUCGCCCACCA